AUUGGAUGAGCCCGCGGCCUAUCAGCUCGUUGGUGGGGUAACGGCCCACCAAGGCUUCGACGGGUAGCUGGUCUGAGAGGACGGCCAGCCACACUGGGACUGAGACACGGCCCAGACUCCUACGGGAGGCAGCAGUGGGGGAUCUUGCGCUAAUGCGCGAAAGCGUGACGCAGCGACGCCGCGUGGGGGACGAAGGCCCUCGGGUUGUAAACCCCUUUCGGCAGGGACGAAGCGGAAGUGACGGUACCUGCAGAAGAAGUCCCGGCUAACUACGUGCCAGCAGCCGCGGCCGAU
RNAcentral lists this ribosomal RNA (294 nucleotides) under uncultured actinomycete. RNAcentral's name for it is "partial 16S ribosomal RNA". It matches the Rfam family "Bacterial small subunit ribosomal RNA", at positions 220 to 525 of the family's 1533-position model. Lineage: Bacteria; Bacillati; Actinomycetota; Actinomycetes; Actinomycetales. The record is from RNAcentral.